UAAUGACUUUCCAUCAGUUUUUACUUUAUAAACGUUUAUAAAUGUCUACCUGUCGCGUAUGAAUUUCAAAAGGUUAAUUACAGUGUUGUGUUACCUUCACGAGCAAUGGACGGAUUUUAAAUACACAUUUCUCACUUUAUUUACAUUUAACAUGGAAUUUAAUACCCAACGAAUUCUAGUGCAUGACAAAAGGAUAAAUUGAUUGAUAAUUUGUGUAGUUUUAUUGUUUACUUGUGACAAACUAUGAUCAUAAAUUUUAUUUGGAUUACAAUCUAUUGAGUCUGAUAAAUUGUUUUGUAUUUUUACGAAAGAAUGUGAAUGCAUGACCAGGCAAGCUGCUGAAAAUGGCAUCAUGCGCAAGUUUCAUGGAGUCUCCACUCGUCCUUUGGGUAAUGUAUAUUUUUUUCAUACAAAUUGUUCUCAUGAAACGAUUUAUUAACUUAAAUUAUUUCUAAAUUGAUGCAAGGACAUGCCUGAAGAGUGAAGUCUUGAAUGCACGAGUUAUCAACAACAUUGACUUUAAAGUACAUAUACGACUUUGAAGAAAAUAUUUCUGAGCAUUUUUCAAUGUUAAACCAUAAAACACUACUACUACUGCUUCUCAAAAUAUUUUCUGGACACAUAGGAAAAAGCUUUGUGUACAUUAAUUAUCUGUAUGAAUAUGUUGUCCAUACCGAAAACUGGCUUUAAUACAAUACUUUGAGAGAGCGCCACAGAUUUGUUGACGGGGCGUUAGAGCAGAUUUGAAGCUCUCUACAUUAUGUAUUUGUGAUGAUUUGUUGAAGAAUGCCAAUGCCAUAAUCAUGAUUAUCCAUGUUUUCAAUCAGUGCACAUGUGUGUCCUGCAUCUGACUGUUUAUUUUUAAACAGCAAACACAGGCCAGGGUUUCCGCUGGCGGUCGCCAUUUUCGCAAUUUGCGAAAAAAUAAUAAUUGUGGCGAUUAAAAUUCGUCAUUGGCGAAAGAAUUUGGCGAAAGAAAUAUAUAUAACGAUUUAUUUUCAGCCAUCUUGUUUAUUUACUUUUUUUCGGGUUUCUCGGACUUUACCCGAUCAGACAAUACUCGGAAUUCACCUUGAACUCGUUAAGAUUUUGAUAGAAAAUCAAUAAUCAGCUGAUCGCAUUUAUAGCUAUCGACAUCGAAGGACUAAUUAAUAAAGGUGUUGAUUGUAUUAUAUAACAAAUUGAUAUGGUAUGGUUAAAUGGCCUCCGUUACAUGUCACAAACGGGAUUUUGCCACUUUGCGACGCACGUGUUGAAGCAAAAUGUUGAUGCUUCCUCUCGAUCCUUCUUUUAAUGAUAGUCAAGAAAAGAAAACUGUUGUUAUGACGAAAAAUCUUCAAAAGCAAGAAGGUCUCUGAUUUAAAACUUUAUCAUUUAACUUUGAUAUAGAUAAUUGAUUUGAGUGGGUACUUUAAAGUCGUUUCAGUGACACCCGUUUUUCAAUGUUUCAAGCAUUACGAUGGUCUAGAAAAGAAAACUGUCGUUAUGGAAGAAAUCUAUUCAAAAGGUUAGGUUGCAUGAAGUAACACUUCAAUGUAAUGACUACACCUUACACGAGGGAUAAAUUUCAAGUGGUAAAAUGUGUUGUUUUGUUGUAAAAACCACUUUUUGUUUUGGAGGGGGGGACGGAAAAUUUUAAAAGAAAAAUAUAUUUGUGUUACUUGGCGAAAAAAAUAAUAAAGUGGCGAAAAAUAUAUUUUUUUGGCGAAAGAGGUGGCGAAAAAAAUAAUUAACCCAGGGGAAACCCUGACAGGCUGUCAUGAAGCUCUACUUGUACAUGUAUAUAGAGAAUCCUAUAACAAAAAAAUAGAAUGUAGUGGUAAAUACAUGUACGAUAGGCUAUUUGCCAAUUUCCGUCAAUUGACCCUGUUAUUAGAGAUCCCUUUUUAGUUGUCUCCCUUAUGAGAGACAUUAAUUUUUAUUUACAAUGGGGAGCUAGCAGAAAGAGCAAAUUUACCUGUGCGUAAUGUGAGUAAUCUCUAAGGUUUUUUAAAUCUUUUAAUUACAUUAAUUUGUUGUAAAGCUAAAAACCUUUGUCCUCUGAAAUAGUUUUUCGUGAAAAAUUAGUUGAACCGCCAAUACACCACUUUCAAUUUGCUAUGCUUUGCAUUGGCAAAAGCCAAUUUUGUCCGGUAUGGAACAAGUCUACUAUUCACAAGAGAAGUAAUUCAUUUAAAAAGUGUGUAAUAACAGAAUCAAAUCGAUAAUUGGCAAAUCGACUAUUGUACCUAUGAUUCUGCUUACAGGCUAACAAAAAUUAGGGACAUUUUUCUUAAAAAUGUUUAUUGAUACAUGUACAUUGUAUUUAUAAACAGGAGAGACAGUCUGAAUUUUGUAGCUCUUGCCCAAAAAUUAAAGUAAAUCUUUAGUGUUACUGGGUAUGCACUAAAACAAUUUUAAAGGUUACAAUAAAAUGAAGGUCAAGUAUUUGGAUUUCCAUCAUUAUUGAAAUCUAAAUGAUUAAAUCAAAGAACUUUUGUAUUUGCUUGAUAUAAUUUUGUGUGCAUGUAUAUUUGUAUGAUGCUUGUAUUUAAUUUAGUUGGUUUGUUUUAGGUGGAGACUUUUGCAAAUGGAAGAUCUAUUGAGUUUCAAGAUCUCCAUGAUGGUAUCUUUCUGAACAAAGUGCUUCAACAAAUGUAAGUAACUAAGUUUACACCAUUGUUACACAAGAAUGUGCAGUAAUACAUGUAGGUAAUAACAUACACAGUACCAAUUUUUUGUGCUAAAAAUGUGCACUAGGUAAAAAAAUGAAAUUUGUUUAAAAUGAUGUAAACCAUUUCAAACUGUCUUUUUCAACUUUUUCAUUUUUGUAUGUCAAACAAGUACGUACAAUUAAUUUGAUGUAAUAAAAGAAAAUAUGUUAAGUGGACAUAAAACAUUUUUUUCAACUUUUUAUUUUUAUAUAAUUAUUUGAUAUAGUUUUAAUUAGUGUCCUUUCUUAAUUCCAUAGUUAGAUGCAUGAUUCUCAAUGUAUAUUGUGAAAACAAUUCAAACUAUUCACAUGUUAAAGAAAUUAAUAUAUUUUUAGUUUUAUGUUAAAUUUUACCUAUUUCAGUGACAGUCGACCAGUCUAUGCCAAUGUCAAUGAUACUGUUGAUGAUAUGAACAGUAGAUUACAGAACUGGGAUAUACUGAUUCGAAAUAUCAAAUCAUUUUAUGUGGUAAGUCCAAGAAAUCAUUUUAUACAUGUACAAUGUAUGGACAUGUAUAUUGAUAGUGUAGAAUGUUAUGUAUAAGCUCAUAGAUUGAAACAAUUCAAUGCUUUCAACAGAGAUUACAAAAUCAUCCUGACAUAAAGAAAUUUAUCAAAUUCUGACUGAGAUUCAAAGCAUUGAAUGUCUUGAAUAAAUCAAACUUUCAAAAAGUUCAUUCAGGAACAGCAUAAUCAGAAAGGUAUUGAACCUUGUAUAUUGACAGAAUAAGCAUAAAAAGGAAGGGGGGGCAGUUAAAGGGAAGGCUUUUCAGGUACAAUGUAUUUUCAUGCUAACUUGUCUUGUGGAGUACAUUAGUACUGUUGAGCUAAAUUAUAUGUAUCAUAUAUAGCCUCAUUGUAUUUUGUAAAUACAUGUACUAACUGUACAUGCUAUGUGUACACUUUUGCUUAUUUCACAGGUUUAUCUAAACUGUAUAAUAGUGUCCCUUAAGGCUUACAAUUUUCCAGUAUAAAAUGUGCAGUGUAUCCAUUUCAAUCUACAUGUAUUAUAGAGUUGACUAUCAUGCGAUUCAAUCAUUAUCUGUGUUUAUCACAAGAAUGUUGAUAUUGAUUUUUUCCACUACAAAACAAAACCAUUGGAAAAAGGUUUUACUUUAUGGGUUGAUUUUAUCAGAACAUUUUUUUCAAUAAAUGAAAGGAAAAGGAGGUGUAAUUGAUUACAAUUGUCCUGGUAUAUAAUCCAUUUAGAGCUAUAUAUGUUAAAAUUAAUAGUAGAUGGUAUUGCAAGUAGAUAUGUGGUCUUAUAAAAUGUACAAUGUACAUGUAUAUUACCUUCAACAUGUUCAAAUAGAAAAUGUUUUCCCCUAAUAGUGUUUUAUCUAGAGCAAUUUAGCUUGCCUUUUUCUUCCAAAACAAUUGACUCCAUGUGCCCUUUUGUCAUGUUUGUGUCAUCGAGAUUAAGUCGCAGUAAGUUUUUUUUGCUGAUCGAAUGUGCUAUGAACUUACUAUUAAACUUUUAACUAUAAAGAAAAUUAUUGCUACAUGUAGUAUGGCAGAUUGAUACAUUUAUAUAAGAAUAAGAGACAAGUGUUUUUGACAGAUUAUUUGCCUUCAAUAUUAUCUGCAUAUAUAUCAUUUAGCAUAAGUACAUGUAUAAAUAAUUGAAGGAAUAACUAAAUAGGUACAUUGUUUAAGAAAAUUUGGUAUAAGUGUCAAUGAAACAACUCUUUAUCCAAAAUUAAACUAUAUAUAGCUAUAUUCAGUUUAUUGUGUCAGUGUCAGAAUGUACUGUAGGAUCUGAGAAAGUGUAGUCCUAUUUCUGUUGUUUCAAUCAUCUUUACAGGAUUAUCACAUACAAAAACACCCAAACUUUUUAACUUUUAUUUCUGUUUUUAGUUGUACUUUAAAAUAUCAUGAUAAAUGAAUUUAAAUUUAAACCAGGUACAAAUCAAUCAAUUAUACACCUACAAAUGUUUUCAAGUAUAAAUUUUGAUUUUUUUUGCUUGAUUUGAAAACAGUUUUUUACUUUUGAUAAAUAAGUCUGUCAGUUGAGGCUUACCAAUUGAAUAAAUUCAUUGAAUACACAUUUACAUUGUACAUGUAAUAAUGUUUAUCUACUGGAUAAAAUCUUGGUAAUGUUUUAAACAACUGGGCCCUACCUAUACUAAUGUUUGUUUUCUUUUAAACCUACAUGUACUCAUUAGGGAGUUUUAUAAGAUUGACUUUUAUUUUUGACUUCAAAAAUUCACAUUCCAUGACAGCUGUCAAAUAUAUUUGAAGUUUAUAACAGAUGUUUUUAUUCAAAAUGUUUGAAAAAAUACAUAUGUGUAAAAAACGUUAUGAAAAUGCCUGUGCGUACACGUACUAUGAAGUAAUGGUUUAUCUAUGUAUUAUAUACAAUAGACGUUUUCACUUUAAACUGUUUACUCCUGUUAUGUCAAAAUUCCUUUAAAUGUUUUUGAUAGUAAGACGGUACACCUGUAAUCAUUUACCUGAAUCUUACAUUUAUUUGUACUGCGUCAAAAUAUUAAUAAUGCAUGCUUCAACAGGUAUUAUCAAUGAAUGUAACAUUUUACCCUGACAAGUGUAAUUCUAUUUUUCGUGUUCAGUUAUUGAGUUAUUUCAUAUUUCAUCAAAAGAAGGGGAAUAAAAUUGCCAUUCUGAAUAGCUGUACAUUUAGUUCUCUUUGUUACGUUUAAUUCCAUUUAAAUGGUCAUAUUUAUAGGUAUUGUUUGUAAAUAGUGUCGACUCAAAAGAAACCCCUCAACUUGGCAGACCUACAUAGAAAUUUCUGAUAUCAAAUUGUUUAAUAAUGACAUCCAUAAUGCGGUAUUGGCCCAAAUAUGUUAAUUUUGAAUGACUUCAGGAAAAGUUACUUAGGUGAAUUAAAUAUUUAAUGGGUUUAUAUUGUUGCAGGUAACAAAAGGUUAUAUAAAUUAUGAAUUUUACCUUUCUGUUAUAUACAUUUGUAGAUUUCAAACAAAUAGAUACUUUUAUGUUUCAUGCAUGAUUCAUAAAUUACGAAAUCAUUGCUCUUUAUUGACUAUAAGGGGGUAGGUUAAAACUUUUUUUUUCUGGAAUGAUACAGUGUAUAUUACUAUAAGAAUUGUUGUGCAAGUUUUAUUUUACUUAAGGUUUAUAUGAGCAAAUGUAUGCAUUUAGAAAGGAGAAGGUCCGGUAAGGACUCAUUUUGGCCUCAAAUUUUAGUUUCAUCUGACGAAAGAUUUUGACCACUUUUUAAACACUUAAGUGUCUAUUUUACUUGAUUCAAUUAGUUUAUGUGAAAGAUUUUAACUGAUUUAGUCAUUAAAAACGAUCCGAUUCCAGCUCAAAUAUGAAAAAUCUACCAAAUAUGCUGAAAAAUGUCACUUUACAGAUGGUUUUUGUCAAAAAUGAAAGUGGCCGCAUCCGUGUUCAUCCACAACCUUUAUAUAUGCUAUGUAUUAUCAUAAAAUACAACUUACAUUUCAAUAUUAAGGAUGAACACGAAUGCGGCCACUUCCGUUUUACACGGAAACCGUCUAAAAUUUAACUAAAAUGCUAGAAUUUUGAAGAUUUCAGUAAUUUAGCAUGACUUAAUGGCGCUACAACCCGAUAUAUUGUGCAUUGCAUAGUCAAAAACAGCCCAUAUUUAUGUGGCAGACGCAUUCAACUGUCCAAUAAAUAACUAAAAGUUUACAUUUUAACAAUUUUGUAAAACUGUUAUAUUUUGGGGCCAAAAAGGGGUCUUACCGGACCUACUCCUUUGUUAUUUUAUGAACCUGGAUUCCAUUUCCGAUCUUUUGAAUGUCAAUACUUUAGUUUACACCACAAAUGGACAUAUUCUAUCCUCAGAGGAAAAAUCUGACCAAGUUCAUGUUUGUCUAUUGAUAUAUCCUAUAAGAAUUCUAUUAAAAACAUUUACUGGUUUCAAACGAACAUUUUUUAUCAAUAUUUUUUUCAUGCAUAAGUUCAAAUGUUGAAAUUAAUAUGAGAGUUUACCCUUAGUAUUGCAUAUGACAGGUUGCUGGACUGAAACAGUAGGACAGAUGUUGUUAACUCACUACAUAAAAUAAUAUAAACCAAUUUGUAACAAAAGUAAAGGAAUAGCACUUUUAUUGCUGAUCUGCAUCUACUUCACAGUAAACCAUUCAAAAAUAAACGUGCUAGAAGCAAAAGCUUAUCAUUUUACCCACUACAAGUACGAAACUCUCUUGCAUUGUUUUGAGCAGACCUUUUUUUAGAUGGCCAUAACAUGUUAUUUUUACAUUCAACUUGGUUCAGUUUUAAACCUUGGUAUGAAUAAUUAUGUAAUUUCACUCGCCAUAACUUUAAAUUGUGCUUAUGAAAAUAAAGAGAUAUGACAUAAUCAUAAUUUCAAUGAGACUGCUAGCUACAAGUUAAGGCCAUGGGACCAUAGUUUUUUGAAGUUUAUGAAAUGUUUACAAUAAUACAUGGCAUUGUGAGUUAAUUUUCUUAUAUAUACCAUAUCUGUUACAUGUUAUCUACUGCAGAUUUACCUGUAAAUUGUAUAGAGCAGUGAAAUUUUAAGUACCUGUUUUUAAAUUGAAAAAAAUAUUAAUAACAUGCAUUCAUGUUAAUAUUAGGCCUUUUCCCAUGAGAUCAGACUAUAAUAUUUUUUCGGGGUCAUUUUAUUAAAAUGACACUGAACUUUUAAUAGAUAGAAAAUACCGCAUGAAUCAUGUUGUGGUUUGCUAAUCUUAAAACUGUGAACAAUUAGUUCUUGUCUAUCGCAAGUGUAUUAUCAGUCAGUACCUGAUUUUGAAUAAAUCUGUGUGAUCAACAAGGGGUGUAAAAAUAGUCCCGGUUAAUCCUAGAUUAGUAUAAUCUUAUAUCAAUAAAUCACUGUGACUUAAGUCCAGAAAAAUGUAACCUUUGUGCAAUUAAAAUUCAACUAGAGAUUAGUAAAAUAAUUUAUUUAAUUACUUGGGGAUUUGAAGACAUUUUGAUAAUAAUAAGCUGAAGUAAAUGAUGCCAAUUUAACUUUUUAAUUAUACAAUUUGGUGACUUUGAUUGAUUUUAUUGAAAGUUGAAUGAUUUAUUGGCUAUUUAAGUGAUAUUUUAUGAAGAAAAUUAAGUAAUAACACAGAGUCAAUUUUCUAAGUAAAUUUACUUACAUUAAUAAGAUUUUUAUGUACACAAUAUUUGAGGAUGAACUUAAACUACAGUUUGAAGUUGAUAAUAAAAAUUGACAAAUUUAUACAAUUUGAUUCAUCGCCAAAGUUGUAAGAUGCUUACAUGUAAACCGUUAUACCUCUGAUCUUGAUUUGAAAUAAAUUAUAAUUAAAAAUAUCCUUGGAAUUUAAUAAUAUUGUCAGUUUAAAAAAAAUGUAUCAUGUAUUAAUGAAGGUCUUGAAUUCUGUCUGAUCCAAGAUUUCUAAAAAAGUGUUUGUUAAACUUUCUCAUAAGGUCUGAGUCUGGGGUAUUUGGAAGAUAAAACAAAACCCCACUUAAAAUUUAAGACAGGCAGAUUAGAUUGUCUUUCAGACUGGUAGUCUGUCUGAAUUUCUGUCACACUAUUUGGGAAUUUCUUAAUAUCUGAUGACUUAUAAACUCCAGAACAUUUUCCUUGCUUUAAAUCAUCACCAAUUCAAACUUCCCAAUAAUUCAACAUAUUUUUUACAUUUUUUUUAUCUUAUUCAUGAACUGGGAUGUUAGUAUCAAAUAGAGCCAAUUUUAUUUCUUCUUUGCAUGAAACAAUCUGAUUAAAGCCACUGGACUGAGACAUUUUUCUUUGUUAAUGAAAUUGAAUGUUCUUGGUAACUAGUUUCAUUUGACAAACAAAAGUAUAGGGUUGGAAUUUAUUCAAAGGUAUGACAAAUUGAUUGAUAGUUAUUAUUCUGUAGGUCCAAGAAAGUUUAUCUGACACCAGGUGGCCUGGUUCAAUUGAUGUUUAAUUUUUUUUUUCAAUUCAUUUAUAGAAUCUCAAAUUCUUUUUCAGUAGGAUUAUAGAUUUACAUGUUCUAUUAAAGCUUUGACUAGAAACUCAUUUAUCCAAAGGCCAUGUGACCUUUUAAUUUUCAGUCAAUCAGAAAAUUUUAUCUGAAAAUGAAAUCAUAGUGUGAUAUACUUAUAUAGACUAUUGAAAAUGAUAAUUAAAAAAUCUGCCUGUGGAUUACAUACUAACAACACAAAUAUUUCGACGAAUCAACCUUUUUUUCAUGAAAAUGAAAACAUACAACUGUGUGUAGUUAGUAUUUUUUUUUGACAAAACACCCACCUAGAUGUACUGUUAUCUGAUAUUUUGGUAUUUGAAAGACAGAUGGGGGAUGAACAUUGUUGAUUCAGUAAUCCAACAACUAAAAAAAUCAUUACAAAAUCUAAAGGGUUAACUUUUACUGAAAUAUUGUAGAUCGUUCUUGAAUAUUGGCAACCAGAUAAAAGUAAAUUUAGAUCAAAACUGUUAAAGUUAUGGAAGGAAAGCAAAUGCAUGUACUAAGAAAAUGCUUUUCUUCGUGAAUGCUAAUUUUGUUUGAUUAUUGAAUAAUAUUUAGUAAAGUCGCUUUUGAAGUUCUCUAGUAUCAUGUGACUUCAAUAUUUAAAGGAUGCUGGUUUAACAACUGAUAUAGUCCAUCCAAAGUGCUGUAAUUGAAGUAUGCUGGUUUGGUUGGUGAUAGACAAGACUUUGACAAAUCCUCUCAGUCUGUGACUGUUUCUAACCAAAGACAUAAUGGUUAUUUGCUUCUUUUCAACAAACCUUAUGGACAUUUUAGGCCAAGACGGGUAGUUUAAGAAUAGAAAUAAUAGUAGGAUGAUUUGUCUUCUUGAACUACAGUCAAUCACUGAAUCGGUCAUAUUUGUGUGAAUUUCACUGAAUUUGAAUAUCUACAGAUAGAUAUAUUAUUCACAUAGUACAUACAUAUUAUGCACAAUUUUCAUUUACGAAAAUAAUCAUAGACCAAUUUCAUGUCUUUCAAGAAGAUUAAACAAACAAUUCAAAUUAUAAUGGGAUUAAUUUGAUGCAUAAUUUGGUCCUUAAAGUGUCCGGGAAAUUUUUGAAAUCAAUUAAUUUCAAAACUAUAUACAUGCAAGUACUUGUAACAAAAACUGAAUUUUCUAUGGGUAUACAUGUAAAUCUAGUAGGACUGUUAAAAUAGAUAAGUUUGACUUUAAUUUAUAGAAAUUAUAUACUUAGUAAGUGAAAGUGGUUAGAAUUGUUUGUGAUAAAAUUUAAAGAAAUCUUAUCGACUAACACUCCAAAUGAACUAGGAUAUGGCUGUAUAACAGAGAAUACGUUUAUGGUUUAAUGGUUCUACAAGUAAAUAUGGAGAGUUGUUCAUGAAGAUUUUACUGAUAUAUACUCUACAUACAUACACCUAAGGUGUCGGUGCAUAGCGCCAAAUGAUUUGUUUGAUCACGGUUUAGAUGUUUAGAUAUUUACAAAACUUCACAGCCUAGCUUUUAUGAUCGUUUACUUGAACUUUAUUGAAAAGAAUUGUUUUUUUAUUGUGAUUAUAUCCUUUCAAACAUUUUAUAAUAUUUUUGUCUGGCUUUAUUAUAAUCAAGGCAUUGUGCAAACAAUAUUUUCGUUUCGACCUUUAUAUGGGUAACAAGGUUGAAUAAAUGUGUAUUGGGCCAAUGUUUGAACAAGGUAAAUGAAUUAGUGGUGAGAGUGAAGAUUAUAGAGGCUUGUUGACACGCUCCAAUGAUCAAUGUCAUUAAGUCUAACAAUACCUGCAUUCCGCUUCAAAGUCUAAAACUCACAACAAAGGGGAGAUAAUCUUCUUAAUGACUUUCAAGAUCUUUUGUUUCCAAAUCCAAUUAUUUUUUUGGAACAAGUUAACCAUUGAAGCUUUGGCUGUAUUUAGUUGUAUUAAUCGUCUAUUGAAUCAAAGUUACACGGUAUUGCUGAAAUAACUUUGGCACAACGUUAGGCUAAUAUUUAACGUAUAAGUACUUCAAGCAUUCUUGUAAGUCCUAUAGAGUAACUUGAAAAAUUAUAAUGCAUUAGUAAAAUGAAAACAUUAUGUAAUAUAAAUUUAAAUGGUACAAAAAAGUACAUUUUGUACCAGUUUACACAAAAUGCUUUAUAUAUAAUGUAGAUUGCUCAAAGGUAUACAAUGGACAAACUUAUGUUUCAAAAGGGUCUUUUUGCAACUAAUGCCCUUGCCUUUCGAUAGAAGAUAAACAUGAAAAUACUUUGCUGUACAUGUUUAUCACUGCUUUACAGGAAAUUUUGGUUUUCAGACUGAUCUCUUUAAAAGCUUGUGUUGAAAAAAUAUUUUUUUAAUCACUUAUUACCUUAUUUGAUCAAAAUAUGCCACAGAAUUGGUAAAAAGCAAAAAAUUUUCUUUUGUUUUUAUUGGCAAUUGUAAAUGAAAUACUUCUGGUUAGUUGAUACCAAAAAUAGGCAUUUAUUCAAAGCCAAGCAACAUUAACAUUAUGAAAAUGAAUGAUAUAAGUUAAAUUGAAUAUUUUUUUCUCCAGCCAGCUCAGAUUUUGGCUUCUAAUUAAUUGUGUAUUAGAUAAGAUGAAUAUCAAAAUGUUGCAUGUAUGCUCCAAUAUUAAGCCAGAUGAACAGGCAAUUAAUAUCCUUGUCAUAUUUUAUGCAUUGUCUUUGGUGUGGUAAAACUGGUACAUUAAUAUGCAUAUUUUACUGCACCAGAUGCACAUUUCAACAUUGAAUGUCUCUUUGAUGAUGCUAGAGGUCAAAAUAUUUGAAAUCCAAAAUUUUAUUGAAAAGUUCAAGAGUUGAACAAACCUCAAACUUUCCCUCAAAUUACAUUCUUUGAAUUUCACAUAUACUUUUAUGUAAAUAUACCUGUUUGUAUCCGUCAUUGUUGAAGACAUCCCGUGUUUGACUAAACACUUAUAUUUUAUUUGGUCCAAGGAUGUGAUUGACUUUUUAAACAAAUUACGUGUUUUAUACCAGUUAUUUAGAUAAAGAAUAAUUUAAGGAUAUCCUCUAGAAUUGAAGUGUACUUGAUCUAACAAUGAGUGGUAAAACUCUGACAUCAGACUAAGCAGAUAUUUAUACUUCACGCAAGCUACCUAUUAUAUAGCAUAAAUUGGACUACAAUUAUCUAACCUUACUAUUGGGUUUUGAUACAUGUAUUUUGACUGAUUGUGGGAACACAAUUUAGUGGAGACUGCAAACAGCAUUACAUUGUAGAUUUAUUGUUAAUUCAUAAUAUCCCACUUUAAAAGUUGAUAAAUACAAUAGUAUAUACCUAUACAUUAGUUUGUCUGUCUGUCUGUCUGUUUGUAAUCAUAUGUAAGGGAAAAGUAUUUCUGUCAUUUUGCAUUCUAUUGCUUGUGUUGAAUUAUCAUCUGUUAUGAGAUAACCUUGCUCUUAUAACUUUCAGUAUUUUCAUUUAAUGUAUAGCAGUAGAUCAACUGAGUUUAUAUGUUAGUCUUGAAAGGACCUCCCUUAAAGAGACCUAAAUUUUAUUUUAUCAUACAUGAAAGUCUUUCCACUAACUAUUAUUGACUAAAUGACUGUCAAAUGGUUUUAAGGUUAGCUAACGUAAUAUUGCUACAUUAAGACUAAGUUUUCAAAUAGUACCUAGAUAGCUCUGAGUUGACUAAGUAUCUCAAAUGCAGGGUUCUGACAAAGUUUUUCUGGUGAAUCCUUGGAAUCUUCAUUUGAAGCUCUGACAAGGCAUCAUUUCUGACGGUCUUAGUUUAUCAUUUAGGUUUUGUUAUCAAAACAAAAACAAUCAUAUUUAUCAUAUUAGUUUAACUUUUAUAAUGAGAAUGUGAUGGUUUAUAUCCUCUACAUAUACAAUGUGGAUGGCACCUUUGGACUUGCAUGAUGAUGUUCAGAAAAGGGGGAUUUCAGGAUAAAAGGCCUCAUCUUGUGAUAUACGUAUAUAUAAUGAGGCAUGAUAUGUUUUAUUGAAAAGUAGUGAAUAAUUUUUUCUUUACAUGUAUUUCAUUGAAUACAUAAUAUUGUAUAAAAAUAAGCACCUUGUAUAUGUAUGAUAGUUACUUGUCUUAUAAAGCUUUUUUUUUUGUUUAUAGGAUGUUUUGCAACAGAUACUAAUAGUAAAGCUACCAAACUUUCAACAGAUAUGUAAAGAACCAGAAAAAGGUAGGAAACACUACUCUAUAGGAGUUGUGAUAUUUUCUGUCCUAUUAACCUUCUAAAGCCAAGUGGAUGUUAUAUUUUUAACUUCAAAAGUUAAAUAUACCAUCUUCUUUAGUUUUGUGUUGUUAGAAAAAAGUUUUUUUUUUCUCAUUGUGUUGAAGACUCAUUCAGUGGCGGAUCCAGAACUUUUCAUAAGGGGGGGCCCUCUGGUUGACCUAAGCUCCAGUCAUGCUUCAGUGAUUCCCUAUAUAAUCAACCAAAUUUUUUCCACGAAAGGGGGGGCCCGGGCCCCCCAGGGCCCCCCUGGAUCCGCCUAUGUCAUUGGUGGUUUUGAGUUGUUUUUUACUCUUUUGCCUGGCUGUUGUUUCUUUUACACAUUCCCCAUUUCCUUUCUGUAUUCUAUUCUUUAAAGUAUAUAGCAGAUUAUACUCAAGAUCAAUACAAGAUAGCUCUUAUGUUUUUUAUUUGUUAUUUUCUCUGUUUUGGAAGGACUUUUCUAUCAAUACUCUCUAUUACACCCUUUUCAACAAGCUCUGAUAACUGUGUUACAUGUACAUUUGAGUCUUGUAACUACCUUAUCAUCAUUAAACUUUAACUUCAAAUCUAUAAAUGAUAUAUGUGUAUGCAUAUAAAACGUUAUUUUAUGUAAAUUUUCCUUUAAUGAUUUCUACAAACUCAGGAAUAUGAUCAUACCAUUGUGGCAGUACAUUGAAUAUUCAGGUUCCAAACAACAAAAGUUUCCUGUUUCCGCUGUGAAUCUUGACCCUCAUUUCAAUGCUGCUUAUGAAAUGUACCUGCAAUCAUAUAUAUUCAAUAUUACAUUAGCUUUACAUAUUAGGGGAUCCAGGGGGGGGAGGAGGGGGUUGGAACCCCCCUUUUUUGGAUGAUCAAUGCAUUUGAAUGGGGACAUGUAGUUGACCCCCCCCCCCCCCCCCCCCCCCGUCUGUCCUGGGUUAGGAACCCCCCCUUUUUAAAAUGGCUGUAUCCACCCUGUUUACAUCUAGGUUAUGGUGAAGUAAAUCAGCAUCAAGUGAUCAUUUACAUUUUGCUUGGUUAUGAGACCAUAUUUUGGUGGUUGUUUAACUUAAAAUUGAGAAUGGAGAUGGGGAAUAUGUGAAAGAGACAACAACCCGACAAAGGAGCAGACAACAGCGGAAGGUCACCAAAGGGUCUUCAACGCAGCAAGAAAAUUCCACACACAGAGGUGGUCCUCAGCUUGCUUCCUAAACAAAAUUGUGUACUAGUUCAGUGAAAAGCAAAAAAGUUGUUUCACUUGUACAUGUGCCAAUAACGUCUGCUUAUAAAUAGUGUGAUGCAGUUGACAAGCUUCUUCUCAUGUGCUUAAAUUGUCCAACUCAGUUUGGCGAAGUUCGCUUCAGUCACAUCUGCCUUGAAGGAUUGACCUUGUUAUGCGUCAGCUUACUAUCCCUUUAUAGCCUUGCAUAGAUAUUUUGAUGUGGAAAACUUUACAUGCAUUGUAACAUGAAUCUAGGUUAUUUAAUCAUCUAUUGAUCUAGAAGAUUCAAUAGUAUAGGGCACUGACAUAUUUUGUUUGGCAGACAUGUACCCUUACUGAAUCUUAAUUGAUUUAAAAAAAUUAAAUCUUUGCAUUCAAAAUGAUAUUAAAGGGACUAACUUGGUCACACUUUUAUGAUUUGUCUUGAUAUUUAUAGUAUACCAAGGUCCAUUAACACCAGAGAUGGCAAUUCUUGAUACCAUUAUUCAUAAGAAAGUCAAGUUCUGGGUAAAUUGGUACCUACGGAGCAUUUAGGGUCACAUCAAAAUAUAUGACAUUUAUAUAGUAAAGGUCUAUUGACACAAAGAUGACAAUGUUAUAAGAUUUAAAUUACCAUUAUAAAUUGAAGUAUCAUUUUAUUGUUUAUAAAGAUGUAUGUUUUACAAGUAUAUACCUGUGUUAGGUCAACACAAAUUUUAUGUAAUCUUGUAGAUUUAAAUUUUGAUGCCAACCCGAUUUGCCAGUACAUAGGAUCUUUUGUUAUCUACAUAACUGUUUAUCAAAUCAAUAUGAUAAAAAAAUAGUUGAACUGAAAUCUUUUCAUAUAAUCUACAAUAGGGUCUCUUUGUAGAUUUAUAGUUUUGUAAGGAAUUUUGACUGGUCUUUAUUUAGUUUUUGGUAUUGAGGGUUAGUUUCAUCUUAUUAUACAUAAUUUGAUAUUUGUAAGAAUAGGACAGAUAGAUUCAAUUUGUCAAAUACCUGUAAUUAUCUUUAAAGACAUCUGUUAUCAGACAAAGAAGCUGUUUAAAUUGGGGUAAUUUCUUUCCCACCCUUUCUUCAGUAAAUAUGGAAGUACAGAAAACUGAAGCGCACAUGUCAGCAAAGUUGAAUUUUUCAUGGACAAUUUUUUUUGUAGAUGUUAUUAUUAAAGGGCUAGUUAUGAUAGAUGAAUAUUUCUCACACAAGGUUUUAGUUUCUAGUCCAAAGCUUUAACAAAACAAUAACUAAAUUGGUAAAUUACCCUGAAAUAACACUCUCCUCCCUGCAUUACAAUACAUUGAAUAUGACCUUUCUUUUAAAUGCUUUUUGUUCGAAGUAAUAUAUUUAUUUCAUUUAUAAGAAGUAUAAUUAAAAAGACCUUCAGACUUUAUUUCAACAUGCAAUAUAUCUGUUGUUAAUAAAUCGACAUGUGUUUUCCUUUGAUAUGCCUUAUAAAAAAGAUUUUAAAAAAUUGACUUAUUUAUCAUGCUGUGUUUUUCAUUGUUUAAAUUCUGUAAUUUCAGAGGCCAGUUUUACAGAAAUUAAGAAGCUGUUGCUGUUAAUUUUGGGUUGUGCAAUACAAUGUGAUAAAAAAGAAAACUUUAUCGAUACUAUCAAAAGUCUGGAUGUACACGUACAACAUGAAAUUGUGGAGCUAAUCAAAGAGGUAAUAAUGGUGGGAGAACAGUACCAUGGCUUAAACUUACCAAAAAGUUAAUUCUUCUAUUACAGAAAACAACCUUACUUUACCAUGUUUACAAGCGAAUGAGUUAGGUUAUUUUCUGUGUGGGAAAAGAUCGAUGCAAAAAUAAAUUGCCAGGAGCAAACUUCAAAUCUUCUCUUAUGUGAAAUAAUAGAAAAAUCUUGAAAACAAAUUGUAAUUAAGUUUUUUAUGUGGGCCAAAUGUUUAAAAGUAUCUGCAAAAAAAAGGCUGAUUUACAAAAAUUAUACAUGUUCUAACUGUAAAGUUUCAUUUGAAGCUAUUGCUUGUAUCAAUUGGCGAUUCAUUUUUCUAUUACGGCUAGGGCUGUUCUUAUUUAUGGUCUGGGGGUAAAGUUAUGGUUAUUACAUUAUUUUAAGUUAUUUGGGAAAUCAGGUACACCUCGGAAUGUAACUUCAAAGUUAUUUUACACUGAACAUUAUGUUUUGAAUAAUCUAGAUGGAUAAGAGAUUAGGAGCUCUGAAUUUAAAACUUAAGUUAUUUUAGACCGAAGAUACUGUUUUUGUGUAUUAUAGAUGUAUAGGAGAUAAAGAGAAUUCAAUUUCAACCUUGAAAUAAAAGACUCACAUUUGUAUGCUUUACAAAAUACUUCAAUUGAAUGUGAAACCAGAGCCACUCUACUUACCAAAUAAUAGAGUCUUUAAAAGAUUAGGCUGGGGUUGUGACAUAUCAGAUUAUUGUACAAUUGAAAAAUGAGCCUCCCCCUUUUAUUUUACAAGCACAUAAGACAAGAGAUGCUGAUCUAAUUUUUGGUCUUCAAAACAUCGAGAUCCCCUGUAAAUUUAUUGAGCUGUGUAUUAAUUCCAACUGCCAGAUUAUGGUAUAAUUUUGAAAAAGUAGCCCCCCUUUUUGUCAAGCAUAUAAUAUGCUGAUCUAAUCGUUCUUCUACAAAUUGAGGAGAUCUGUAACUUUAUGGAGAUGUGUAUUGAUUCCAACUGCAGUGAUUGACAAGUCUGCUUUGUAAUCAAAUCCCAUUAAAACUUUACUUGACAUCUGUCCAUGUCUCCUCCAGUCUGUUAACAAUGACAGAAUCCCCAGUUAAUACGCUAACUAGGCACAGUAAUGUUAGUAAUAGGCUUUAGAGAUUUACCAUGUAGAACAAGUGACAAAAAGACAAUAAUUAGUUUAUGAAGUAGGUGUGGAGCUAAUCAUUUGUACUUUCACCUUGAUUAUUACCUAUAGGGCUAUUGGUUUUGAUAUUAAUCACUUUCUAUAUAUAAAUACCUGUAAUUAUCGAUUGAUUUAGAUAUCAAAGGAAAGUAUUUAGAUAGGCGUGAUGAUGGGUCAAUGAUAAAAUUCUCCCUGUAGCUAUUUCCUCCCUUGAUUGUAAUAACAAAUUCUGUGUUGCUUGCCUGUUAAUUAUUUAUUUGGUGAUUAAGAUAACAUAUUCAUUGAAUUAUAUGCCUAGAUUGAAAAAAUGGAUAUUAGACCUUGGGGAAAUUAUAUGUCAACAAAUCAUUGAUUGUCUGGGAAUCUUGCUCUUAACCAUAGUCUUGUGCUGGCAAAAAUGCAAUCUAUUUAUAUUUGCUAUGGAUGAUGCAAAAUUGAAGUAUUACAUUUAAAGGAUUUUUUUUUUAUAUGGAACAUCCUAUAAAAAUCAUCAAAAUCUAAGAUGAUUUUUGUCGAGCCUGCAACUUUUGUUGCAGAAAGCUCGACAUAGGGAUAGUGAUCCGGCGGCUACGGCGGCGGUGUUAGCUAACUUCUUAAAAGCUUUAUAUUUUAGAGGGUGGAAGACCUGGAUGCUUCAUACUUUGUAUAUAGAUGCUUCAUGUUACGAAGUUUCCGUCAGUCACAUGUCCAAUGUCCUUGACCUCAUUUUCAUGGUUCAGUGACUACUUGAAAAAAAAAGUUCAGAUUUUUUGUAAUGUUGAAUUCUCUCUUAUUAUAAGUAAUAGGAUAACUAUAUUUGAUAUGUGCGUACCUUGCAAGGUCCUCAUGUCUGUCAGACAGUUUUCACUUGACCUCGACCUCAUUUCAUGGAUCAGUGAACAAGGUUAAGUUUUGGUGGUCAAGUCCAUAUCUCAGAUACUAUAAGCAAUAGAGCUUGUAUAUUCGGUGUAUGGAAGGACUGUAAGGUGUACAUGUCCAACUGGCAGGUGUCAUCUGACCUUGACCUCAUUUUCAUGGUUCAGUGCUUAUAGUUAAAUUUUUGUGUUUUGGUCUGUUUUUUUCAUACUAUAUGCAAUAGGUCUACUGUAUUUGUUGUAUGGAAUGAUUGUAAGGUGUACAUGUCUAGCGGGCAGAUGUCAUGUGACCUUGACCUCAUUUUCAUGGUUCAGUGGUUAUAGUUAAAUUUUUGUGUUUUGGUUUGUUUUUUUCAUACUAUAUGCAAUAGGUCUACUAUAUUUGUUGUAUGGAAUGAUUGUAAGGUGUACAUGUCUAGCGGGCAGAUGUCAUGUGACCUUGACCUCAUUUGCAUGGUUCAGUGGUCAAAGUUAAGUUUUUGAGUUUUGGUCUAUUUAUCUAAUACUAUAUGCCAUAGGUCAACUAUAUUUGGUGUAUGGAAAUAUUUUAUGAUCUUUAUGUCAGUAGCGCAGGUUUCUUUUGACCAUGACCUCAUUUUCACGGUUCAUUGCACAGUGUUAAUUUUUUGUGUUUUGGUCUAUUUUUCUUAAACUAUAAGUAAUAGGUCAACUAUAUAUGUUGUAUAGAAGCAUUGUUAGCUGUAGUACAUGUCUGCCUGGCAUGGUUUAUCUGACCUUGACCUCAUUUUCAUGGUUCAUUGGUCUUUGUUUUGUUAUCUUGGUUAAUGUUAAGUUUAUGAGACAGUUGUAAUAAAGCUUUAUACUUAGGACUAUCAACAUAAUAUCAAUGAUUAGUAUAGAAGGCGAGACAUUUCAGCGUGUGCACUCUUGUUUUAAGUUUUUUAAGGAGGAGGUCUUCACAGAAAUGUGGUAGAUGAGUAGUUCGGUUAAUUACAUUUGUCACUUAUGAGCUUAGCCAUUUCAUUACCCAGUGAUGGUUGGGAGUUUUUGCAGUCUUUUGCUCAUUGAAAAAGUACAUUUAAUCAACCCAUAUGUGAUAAGGCUUUGUAAAAUCCAGAAUAAAAGAGCAAUUGUUUAUUGAUGCAAAAAAACUUUGCAAAACUACAACUUGCAUUUAAAUUUUUUGCUGGUUAUAUUCUUCUAUAUCAUGUGAAACAAUAAUUACCUUGAUUAAUCUAGCAUAAUUGUCAAGUUACCAAACAUUUCAUUUGGUAAUUCCAUCAUCAUGCAUUAAAUUCUGAAUUUACAAUACUAAAUAAUGGAUGUAGGUUUCUCUGGUUCAUUUCCAUUUCUUGUACCAUUAAAGAUAACCACUUCUGUAUUAAUGUUUAAAAAGUGAUGGAAAGCCCUAGCAGACUAAUAGACCAAAAAAUGUCACGUAAAUUAAGAUUGAAGGGUCAUGUUGAUGUAAGGCUUUCUGUAAUGUUAAUAGAACAUAUAUCUAAAACCUAUUAUUAUUCCAUUAACUUUCAAACAGUUUCAAGAGCUAAAAAAACGGAAAUGGAUUAUUGAAUACUUUGUAACAUGUUAGGGCAGUUGUAUUUUCUGAAAUAGACGUUGAAUAAUACAUUUCACAUCAAAGAAAUCAAUUAAACCUAUUAAAUACACCUCAAAUUCCUGUUGAUAGGAAAAUUGUAAAAUAAAAAGUUAGUUUAAAGACAGAAAGUAUCUGUAAAAAAACAACAAAACUCUCCUCAUCAAAGGCUCAAAAGACAGUCUUUGUCACGUGAAAAUGUAUUACAUGAAUUAUGUAUACAUUCCAAUUCUUAAAACUGCACUGAAAAACCUUAUUCAUUUUAAAACCUGAGUUUUAUUUAUUAGAUACAAUGAUCAUAAUUAAAUGAUAAUCUACAAGGAUUGUGUAUUAUUAGCGAUACAGAUCAUUAGAAUACUAUUAGGUUCUGUAUGUUAUGGGUCAGUGAUGGGUCAUCGAUAAAAAAACAAGUUACUUGCUCUAAGCAAUUUACCAGAUAAAAAUCAAACAAUUAAGACACUAUAAUAAAAGUUAAUAGGUGAUUUGUUCAUUUCACUGUCCGAUGAUCAUAGAUAAAUUAUUGAAUUAACUGAAAAUAUUCAUGGAAUGUCCAGGAAUUGCAUUGUCACGCUAUAUUGUUCUCCGCAAUAAUUAAAUUAAUUCGCCAUUAAAAUAUUAUCUCCCUUGCAUGGGUAAUUUCACUAAAUCAAUUGUUUCCAAACUAAAUCAUAAGAGUUUCUAUAAAACAGAUAAUUUCCCCUGCGGAAUUCGUAAUUUGUAGUUUGUCUAAAAUUAAGUAUUGAUUCGUUUGUUUUUUAAAACAUGCUCUAAAUGUGUGCUUCAGUUCUCCUAAAAUCAAUAUGUUGAUCAUUAAUUUAAUGCCUCAGUUACUAAUUGGAUGCUUCAAGUAGGAAUUCCAAAAAUAACCUGCAUAACUACCAUGUAGAAAAUUUUGCAAGUGUAAUUGAAGAGAGUCUUGGAUAUCAUGAAACUUGGUAAAAAGAGAAUUUUGGAAACACUUUCAAAUUAUUUAUCUUGGCAUUAUUUAUUGGCGGUGAUCUUGUUAGCUGUUUUUAUGCUGGAUUUUGUUUUAACAGUCUUGUAACAUUGCCAUAAUCUUCAUGAAAGCCCAUCUUUAUCUUAAGUAUUUUGAUAUCCGAAAGAAGACAUUUUACAUGCAUUGACUAUUUAUUGAAAAAUUCUUAAUACCUAAAGAUGGCAAUGGUCAAAACUGAAAAGGAAUCUAUGGCUGUUUUUCAAACCCAUUCUUUGAAAGUAUCAAUUUUAAUUUUUUUGGCAGGAAAUUGCAUAUCAUAUAUUCAGUUGAUUUGUUUUAUGCAAUUAAAAACUACUAAUUAAAAAAAAAUCAUUAAUAAAUGAUGAUUCAACACACCACAAGAUAUGGAGAAAAAUAAUAACCGAAAGAAUUGGAUGAGUUAAUGAUUUUCUAUAGUUCGGUAUGCAGAUUCGGUGGAAAAAACAUAUAUGAAAGAAUCUGCAUUUUACAAAUGUUAAAAUAAUGAAAUAAAACAAGGUCAUUAUGUCUAGGAAUAGCACAGUUUGUGGUGUAGGUUUUAGAUAAAAAAAAAUAUUUUGUGUCAUCUUAUUAUAUUUUUGCAUAAAUGACAUAUUUUUACAACAUCAAUUGGUAAUAGGGUAGUUAGUCCUAUAAGCCUUUAAAGCUUUUCUUUUGUUUAUAUAAUAUCAUUAUUUUAUAUUUGCAGGUGACAGAUGAUACAGAAUUCAUCAUGCACAUUGAACCAACAGAACAGUUAGAAACUUAUACAGAAAAAAUGUUCAACCAUGUAACAAGACUACUGAAAGAGAGAGAUGAUUAUUUUGAGGUGUGAUAUUGACCAUAUUAGGAUGAAUUUAUUCAUUUCCAUAAUAAAAUAUUACUGCUUCACAUUCCAAAUUUGUAUGCCCCCACCGAGCGUUACUCCUGCACAUCUAUACAAUUGUCUCAAAAUUGGUUUCCUUGCUCUAACUGUAGUUUGUCUACACCAAAUGUUAUGAAACUUGUACACAAUGCUUAUUACCACAAACCACAGAUCGAUUUUUUAAAUUUGGACAUCGUUACUUCUGCCGUUCUAGAAUUAUGCAUCUAAUAAAUGGAAAAAUUGCUGAUUUUUUUGUUUCCGUUUUUCGUGCUUAUUACCACAAAACACAAAUUAAGUUGGAAUAUGCAUGCACGUCACUUUUACAGUUAUAUUGUCCACUUUAUAACUUUAUAUGCAAGCGGGGCAUCAUCAGUGUCUCAUAGAUGCAACUUCCAUUUAUUCAUCUUGAACAAUUAUGGAAUGCAAUUUAAAAAAUGUAUUUAACUAUAAAUUAGAAAUUUGGAACACAAAUAUAAUUUGAUCGAUGUAGUAUUUAAUACUUUUUCAACACCUAAGAUCUAUUUUAAAUGUUGAAUUGUAUUCUUAUUGUUAAAGUGCAACUAGAUUGAACGAAAUGGUCCCCGGCCUAUUGUCUUAUUUUAAGAAUGUGAUACUUUUAAAACUCUUAUUGAUGUUCUUAUACUCCAAAUGGUGAAUGUUAAAUCAAAGUUAUUUUACAUUUCAGAUCCUUACAGAAUUGGCACAGGAGAGAGACUUCUAUCAAAAACAAUCCCGAGGGAAUACUACAUUACCUAUGGCUCCUCCCACCAGUCCAGAGAAACAUCACAUGGUAGUGGAACUGGCUGAUUGUAAAGCUAAAAUCAGGAAACUUAGACAGGAAUUGUAAGUUAGGGAAUAGUAUAAAGUUAAAAUCAGGAAACUUGGGCAGGAAAUGUAAGUUAGGGAAUAGUAUAAAGUUAAAAUUAGGAAACUUGGGCAGGAAAUGUAAGUUAGGGAAUAGUAUAAAGUUAAAAUCAGGAAACUUGGGCAGGAAUUGUAAGUUAUGGCAUAGUAUAAAGUUAAAAUCAGGAAACUUGGGCAGGAAUUGUAAGUUUGGGGAAUUAGUAGAAUAAAGCUAAAAUCGGGAAACUAAGACAGGUAUCAGGAAACUUAGGCAGGAAUUGUAAGUUUGGGGAAAUAGUAUAAAGCUAAAAUAAGGAAACUUAGGCAGGAAUUGUAAGUUUGGGGAAAUAGUAUAAAGCCAUAUAAAUCUGGAAACUUAGGCAGGAAUUGUAAGUUUGGGGAAUUAGUAUAAAGCUAUAAUCUGGAAACUUAGGCAGGAAUUGUAAGUUUGGGGAAUUAGUAUAAAAAAGCUAUAAUCUGGAAUAUUAAAUGUUUAGAAUUAUGGAAUUAUUGCAAAAAAAGGGGGGUGAAGUAGUUUUCAAAUUGUUUUCAAAAUUAUUUAAAAGUUUUAAGAAGAAAUCUUUAAUUGCACAAUAGAUUUGUAAGAUCUUGACAUUUGUUUUGUGUCAGAAACUCAUAUUAUGUCAAAAAUUUGAUCACAACCCAAAUUCAGAGCUGUAUCAAGCUUGAAUGUUGUGUCCAUACUUGCCCCAACUGUUCAGGGUUCGACCUCUGAGGUUGUAUAAAGCUGUGCCCUGCAGAGCACCUGGUUAUACCUUCAUGCUAAAAUGAUAAUUGGUUAAAGUCAGAUAUAUAUGUAAUGUUCAUUCAUGUGUAUAUUUAUGUAUAUAUUGGAGAAGAUGUUACUAUUAAAGUUGAAAAACUAGUGUCUAAUCCAUUUGUCAUUAUUGAACAAUAAAAUAUGUUUAAACUAAACAAAGUAUUUAACAAAAAGUAUAUAUGAACAAAUAACCAGCUUUCAUGACAAAAAUAAUAGUUAUCUCCCUUAAACCAGUUCUUGACAGGAUUAAGACAUUUUCUAACACAUUAAGCAUGUUAGUACCUAGGCUUUGGUCACUUGGACAAUGGUAGUACCCCAAACAUUAAAAAAAUUACUUUAUCUUUAAUCAUGAAUUAUUACAGUUUACAAUCAUUUUAAUUGCUUAUCUUUUAUAUUUAUUUUCCAGGGAAGAUAAGCAAGAAUUAAUUUCAGAUCUACAAGUAGAC
Molecule: long non-coding RNA, 23028 nt
Filed under: Mytilus galloprovincialis (Mediterranean mussel)
Lineage: Eukaryota; Metazoa; Mollusca; Bivalvia; Mytilida; Mytilidae
Source: RNAcentral